This 462-nucleotide ribosomal RNA is filed under the name uncultured bacterium. Its description in RNAcentral is "partial 16S ribosomal RNA". It matches the Rfam family "Bacterial small subunit ribosomal RNA", at positions 28 to 507 of the family's 1533-position model. The record is from RNAcentral.
GACGAACGCUGGCGGCGUGCUUAACACAUGCAAGUCGAACGGAAAGGCCCUUCGGGGUACUCGAGUGGCGAACGGGUGAGUAACACGUGGGCGAUCUGCCCUGCACUUUGGGAUAAGCCUGGGAAACUGGGUCUAAUACCGAAUAGGACCACGCGCUUCAUGGUGUGUGGUGGAAAGCUUUUGCGGUGUGGGAUGGGCCCGCGGCCUAUCAGCUUGUUGGUGGGGUAAUGGCCUACCAAGGCGACGACGGGUAGCCGGCCUGAGAGGGUGACCGGCCACACUGGGACUGAGAUACGGCCCAGACUCCUACGGGAGGCAGCAGUGGGGAAUAUUGCACAAUGGGCGCAAGCCUGAUGCAGCGACGCCGCGUGAGGGAUGACGGCCUUCGGGUUGUAAACCUCUUUCACCAGGGACGAAGCGUAAGUGACGGUACCUGGAGAAGAAGCACCGGCCAACUACGUG